Molecule: ribosomal RNA, 253 nt
Filed under: uncultured bacterium
Lineage: Bacteria
Description: partial 16S ribosomal RNA
Rfam family: Bacterial small subunit ribosomal RNA
Source: RNAcentral
UACGAAGGGAGCUAGCGUUGUUCGGAAUCACUGGGCGUAAAGCGCACGUAGGCGGAUGUGUCAGUCAGGGGUGAAAUCCCGGAGCUCAACUUCGGAACUGCCUUUGAUACAGCACGUCUUGAGUCCGGAAGAGGUGGGUGGAAUUCCUAGUGUAGAGGUGAAAUUCGUAGAUAUUAGGAAGAACACCGGUGGCGAAGGCGGCCCACUGGUCCGGUACUGACGCUGAGGCACGAAAGCGUGGGGAGCAAACAGG